RNAcentral lists this ribosomal RNA (292 nucleotides) under Escherichia coli. RNAcentral's name for it is "partial 16S ribosomal RNA". It matches the Rfam family "Bacterial small subunit ribosomal RNA", at positions 1254 to 1533 of the family's 1533-position model. The record is from RNAcentral. RNAcentral also lists the same sequence under 1 other name. Lineage: Bacteria; Pseudomonadati; Pseudomonadota; Gammaproteobacteria; Enterobacterales; Enterobacteriaceae.
CUCGCGAGAGCAAGCGGACCUCAUAAAGUGCGUCGUAGUCCGGAUUGGAGUCUGCAACUCGACUCCAUGAAGUCGGAAUCGCUAGUAAUCGUGGAUCAGAAUGCCACGGUGAAUACGUUCCCGGGCCUUGUACACACCGCCCGUCACACCAUGGGAGUGGGUUGCAAAAGAAGUAGGUAGCUUAACCUUCGGGAGGGCGCUUACCACUUUGUGAUUCAUGACUGGGGUGAAGUCGUAACAAGGUAACCGUAGGGGAACCUGCGGUUGGAUCACCUCCUUACCUUAAAGAAGC